CCGGCGACCGGCGCACGGGUGAGUAACACGUAUGGAACCUGCCCUAUGCAGGGGGAUAAGCGGAAGAAAUUCCGUCUAAUACCGCGUAAUAUCUUUCGGGGGCAUUCCUGAGGGAUUAAAGGAAGCGAUUCCGGCUACGGAUGGGCAUGCGGCGCAUUAGCUAGUUGGCGGGGUAACGGCCCACCAAGGCGACGAUGCGUAGGGGUUCUGAGAGGAAGGUCCCCCACACUGGUACUGAGACACGGACCAGACUCCUACGGAAGGCAGCAG
Molecule: ribosomal RNA, 270 nt
Filed under: uncultured bacterium
Lineage: Bacteria
Description: partial 16S ribosomal RNA
Rfam family: Bacterial small subunit ribosomal RNA
Source: RNAcentral